Non-coding RNA from Solanum lycopersicum (tomato), 152 nucleotides. Lineage: Eukaryota; Viridiplantae; Streptophyta; Magnoliopsida; Solanales; Solanaceae. The record is from Rfam.
GUGUUUGCAAUUGAAAAAGGACGUAGCUAGUGAGGUUCUAACCGAGGCGCGUCUAUUGCUGGUUGAAAACUAUUUCCAAACCUCCUCAUCGGCCUUGGUGUUUGCCAAGGCCGCUGAGAAUUUUUGGAAGGGCUUCCCUUUGGGGUAAAGCC